RNAcentral lists this ribosomal RNA (489 nucleotides) under uncultured bacterium. Its description in RNAcentral is "partial 16S ribosomal RNA". It matches the Rfam family "Bacterial small subunit ribosomal RNA", at positions 28 to 506 of the family's 1533-position model. The record is from RNAcentral.
GAUGAACGCUAGCGGCAGGCCUAAUACAUGCAAGUCGAACGGGAUCCAGAUCAAAGCUUGCUUUGGUCUGGUGAGAGUGGCGCACGGGUGCGUAACGCGUGAGCAACCUACCCUUGUCAGGGGGAUAGCCCGGCGAAAGUCGGAUUAAUACCGCAUGACAUCAUUGAGAGGCAUCUUUCGAUGAUCAAAGAUUUAUCGGACAAGGAUGGGCUCGCGUGACAUUAGCUAGUUGGUAAGGUAACGGCUUACCAAGGCUGCGAUGUCUAGGGGCUCUGAGAGGAGAAUCCCCCACACUGGUACUGAGACACGGACCAGACUCCUACGGGAGGCAGCAGUAAGGAAUAUUGGUCAAUGGACGGAAGUCUGAACCAGCCAUGCCGCGUGCAGGAAGACGGCCCUAUGGGUUGUAAACUGCUUUUAUACGGGAACAAACGUCGGUACGUGUACCGGUCUGAGUGUACCGUAAGAAUAAGGAUCGGCUAACUCCGU